UACAGAGGGUGCAAACGUUGCUCGGAAUUAUUGGGCGUAAAGCGCACGUAGGCGGUUCGUUAAGUCAGAUGUGAAAGCCCCGGGCUCAACUCGGGAAGUGCAUUUGAAACUGGCGGGCUUGAAUAUGGAAGAGGGUCGCGGAAUUCCCGGUGUAGAGGUGAAAUUCGUAGAUAUCGGGAGGAACACCAGUGGCGAAGGCGGCGACCUGGGCCAAUAUUGACGCUGAGGUGCGAAAGCGUGGGGAGCAAACAGG
This 253-nucleotide ribosomal RNA is filed under the name uncultured bacterium. Its description in RNAcentral is "partial 16S ribosomal RNA". It matches the Rfam family "Bacterial small subunit ribosomal RNA", at positions 524 to 776 of the family's 1533-position model. The record is from RNAcentral.